GCAAGGACAUAUGCUCCCCCUCCCCUACCUAAAGCCCCAAAUAAAAACCCUUCCUUCUAGCUUUUUGGGGAGUUUGGGAUUUCAGCGUUAGCUGCCCUCUCUUCUUGCUCAGCACUGUGCAAAAAUAAAAUUUCUACUUUAUUCCACCACACCCGGUGUCAGAGAUUGGCUUGCUGCACAACGGGUGAGCGAACUCACUUCAGGUUUGGUAACAAUUUGGCAACCCAGAUGGGACAAUGUCCCAGGUGGACGUCUUGCCUGUGGCACUCUGGCCUCUGGCUAAAGGCCUCUCUUGGAAGCUGUCCUGCAGCUGCCUGAGCCCCUUGUCUCAGGGACAGCCCCAAGCAGCUGGCUGCUAGCCAGACGUCCUUGGCCCAUGGCACUUUUGCUUUGGUGGUGGAAGAAACUAGGUUUAGGACUUAGGAAGACGUCUCUUAGUUAAGAAAACCUUUUUCUCUAUUCUCUUAAAGAACUAUGACUUACAGCAAUUUAUAAACAAAACUGAAACAUUUCUCUUUUCCUCCCUAUCUGAGCCCCCCAAAACACAAAAACUUCUGAUAAGACACAAUUGGAAACAGUGGUUAUAUUACCAAGGCUUUGACUGGAACAUCAUGUUUGAAAAAACAUACGGGCUUGGAUAUAACAAGACAGCUUUUGAGGAAUGAAGGUUGACAUUCUGGAAUAAAGCCACUUGGAAAUAUUGGCCUGGUACUGUACUUAUGGGUUCUGUAACCUGGUAAGGUUAAGCAAAGAAUGUCGCUCCCUCUGGCAGGUAAAAGGAACCUCAAUAUUUUGGGGAGCCUCAUGAAGAGAGGGAUUCACCCAAAUCUGUAGGUACUGCAGGCAGAAUGUGAUAACAGGUCCUUUGCUUGGCUUUCUUUGAGAGACCUUUAAAAUUCAACCUGAGAUUCCUUAUAAGGUUCCAGCAAAGCAGAUUUAAAAGAGCCUAUAUGAUCAAUUACUAUUCUUGCUGUACUUAUGUAAAUAAUUAUGCCAAAUUUAUUAAAACUGGACAUUUUGCAAACCAGUUAGUCUUAAUUUGGCUAUGUCUAGUGAAAUUGAAGAUGAUUUUAGGGAGGAAGAUUAUAUUUCAAUGGAAAACUAUAAUACAUAUUUAUAAAUAUUGGAUUUUAGUUUUUUCAAUUAUCUUUGAAAUUUUUGUUUUACUUCUGUUAACUGGACUGGAUCUUGAAUUCUUCAUCUCCUGAAAUAUCUGGCUAAAAACCUCCAAACUAACAUUUUCAGGGUUUUUUUUCUCAUUAUUUUCAUUUGGAGUCAUUGAAAACUAAAUCUGCCCUUUGUCCUAAAGCCUUACAAACUGAAGCUGGAGGACCUAAUAUAAACUUAAGAGAGAUUCAUGUCUACUGCUGUGUAAGCCACUCAAAAAGCUACCUGAGUGCCCAAUGACACCAUCAGAGACAUUUCAAACUGCAAAAGAUGCUUCGACCCUGACUUCUAGGAAUCUUGAUUGGCUGCCCCCUGGACUCAGAAACUGGUUUAUAAUUUGCUCCGAUCAUUAACCUUGUUUUUCUCUUUUUGUUUCUCUAGAAAAACUCUUUAUUAAAUACCUGGUUACUUACUUACAUGAUACAGGCCUACCUUCAGGAGCCCACCAGCAUCACUGCCUUAUUAAAAGACUGGUUCAAUGAGAUGAAACGACCUACGCCCCAUUUCAGCAGGAAGUAGCUAGAUCGGUUGCCACCCCAAAUCCCUCAAGAUUGAGGGAUGGACAUAAAAUAGGGGGGAAGUUGACACUGAUCCUGAUAUCAGUUUCCCCACACUAAACCCAGCAUAUAUGGGGUUAAAAGCAAAACAACCAUUCCCUGCUUGCUCUCUGGCUUCCUGGCUCCAGAAUCCACUAUUCUCCAUGGAGACAGACAUCAUCAAGGACAAGCACCUGGACUAUCUCCUCCCACAAAGAUAUACGGGCUGGUGGGAAAGCUGCUGACCAGCAAGGUCAUGAGCUCGCUCCUGUCUGCAAGUAGUCUCAAGGCCAAAGACAAGCUGGUGGGAAAGCUCCAACCAGCAAGGCCAUAUGCUCCCCCUCCCCUACCUAAAGCCCCAAAUAAAAACCCUUCCUUCUAGCUUUUCGGGGAGUUUGGGAUUUCAGCGUUAGCUGCCCUCUCUCCUUGCUCAGCACUGUGCAAAAAU
RNAcentral lists this long non-coding RNA (2151 nucleotides) under Equus asinus (donkey). RNAcentral's name for it is "lncRNA (ENSEASG00005030627.1)". Lineage: Eukaryota; Metazoa; Chordata; Mammalia; Perissodactyla; Equidae. The record is from RNAcentral.